Molecule: long non-coding RNA, 258 nt
Organism: Mauremys mutica (yellowpond turtle)
Lineage: Eukaryota; Metazoa; Chordata; Testudines; Geoemydidae
Exons: 4
Source: RefSeq, a predicted model, not a curated record
GCCAAGAUCCCAGCAUGAUAAAUGUCCAGUCCUCUGCUGAAUAUGAUAACAUCCAAAGCUAUGAUGAAUAAAAUCUUUGGUUUUAGAAGCUAAAGGAUUGGCUGGCAGCAUGGCAUUUUGGGAGCAGCAAUAUCCCUCUCCAGAGAUGUCUGCAUUUCAGUACAGUCUCAUUGGCUGCCAUGUUAGUUUGGUUCAAGAGCACACACCUCAAACCUCUCACCUCAAAUGCUUGGAACGUGAGUCCUACAUGAAACCCCU